GAGCGAACUUCCGUUAAGUGAUUAUGACGUACUUGUACUGAUUGAGAUUUUAACACGAAGUGAGUGGCGAACGGGUGAGUAACACGUGGGUAACCUGCCCAGAAGUAGGGGAUAACACCUGGAAACAGAUGCUAAUACCGUAUAACAGAGAAAACCGCAUGGUUUUCUUUUAAAAGAUGGCUCUGCUAUCACUUCUGGAUGGACCCGCGGCGUAUUAGCUAGUUGGUGAGGUAAAGGCUCACCAAGGCAGUGAUACGUAGCCGACCUGAGAGGGUAAUCGGCCACAUUGGGACUGAGACACGGCCCAGACUCCUACGGGAGGCAGCAGUAGGGAAUCUUCCACAAUGGACGCAAGUCUGAUGGAGCAACGCCGCGUGAGUGAAGAAGGGUUUCGGCUCGUAAAGCUCUGUUGUUAAAGAAGAACGUGGGUAAGAGUAACUGUUUACCCAGUGACGGUAUUUAACCAGAAAGCCACGGCUAACUACGUGCCAGCAGCCGCGGUAAUACGUAGGUGGCAAGCGUUAUCCGGAUUUAUUGGGCGUAAAGCGAGCGCAGGCGGUCUUUUAAGUCUAAUGUGAAAGCCUUCGGCUCAACCGAAGAAGUGCAUUGGAAACUGGGAGACUUGAGUGCAGAAAAGGACAGUGGAACUCC
This 651-nucleotide ribosomal RNA is filed under the name Pediococcus pentosaceus. RNAcentral's name for it is "bacterial SSU rRNA". It matches the Rfam family "Bacterial small subunit ribosomal RNA", at positions 27 to 670 of the family's 1533-position model. The record is from RNAcentral. Lineage: Bacteria; Bacillati; Bacillota; Bacilli; Lactobacillales; Lactobacillaceae.